GAUGAAGAACGUAGCGAAAUGCGAUACGUAAUGUGAAUUGCAGAAUUCAGUGAAUCAUCGAAUCUUUGAACGCACCUUGCGCCCUUUGGCCAUUCCGAAGGGCAUGCCUGUUUGAGUAUCAUGAACACCUCAACUCUUUAUGGUUUUCCAUGAUGAGCUUGGACUCUGGGGGUUUUGCUGGCUCACAGUCGGCUCCUCUAAAAUGAAUCAGCUUACCAGUGUUUGGUGGGUAUCAUGGGUGUGAUAACUAUCUACGCUUGUGGUUUUUCCACCAGGUAACCUGCAGCAGUGGAGGUUCGCUGGAGCUCAUAGAUGUCUCUCCUCAGUGAGGACAGCCCUUUGAAUGUUUGAUCUCAAAUCAGGUAGGACUACCCGCUGAACUUAAGCAUAUCAAUAAGCGGAGGA
Molecule: unclassified non-coding RNA, 405 nt
Filed under: soil metagenome
Description: partial contains 5.8S ribosomal RNA, internal transcribed spacer 2, and large subunit ribosomal RNA
Rfam family: 5.8S ribosomal RNA (bases 1-121)
Source: RNAcentral